AUGAUAAAGGUGUAGUGCACAACAUCUAAAUCGAAUAGAACCGCAGCGCCCCUCGAUCGCUCACUCACCCCGGCUCUGCCGCCUGUGUGCUCCGAGCUCGGCUCCUCCCCUUCCUCCCUCUUCCCCCUCGGCCUCACAGUUCGGUGAAGUCCACCAGGGAGAGCUCGAGUGAAGCAACUCCAACACCCGCCAUGAAGAACAGAGACGCACCUGUAUCUCCUUCCUCAUCCUCACCUAGUGUUUCUAGGUUGAAGUCAUAGCAGCAACAUCACCGCAGCUUAUUCUUCCUCCGCUCGAUUUCAGUGAAGUUGCGAAGAUGGAUAUCAAUGAGAUCAAUGAGGAGCUAUUCUUCAUGGUGGGCGUCAAAGUUGCUUCACUCAAGCUUUCCCCAGUAGACUUCACCGAGUCGUGAGGCCGGGAAGGAAGGGGGAGGAAGGGGAGUCGGGCUCGGAGCGGGCCCGGGGUGGGUGGGUGGUCGAGGGGCGGUACGGAGCCUUGACAAGAGUGAAUUUUUCACAAAUGAAUCUAGGGAUUCUUCGAGAUUGCACGUCGACUUUAGUUGGUUCUGUUCGAUUGGAGAAGAUGAACAAAGACAACUUUAGACACUGUUUCUUUAUUGUUUCUUCUUUAUUAAAGAAAUAUAUAUUGUUUUUGUUGAAGAGGUGCAA
This is a non-coding RNA of Punica granatum (pomegranate), 668 nucleotides long. NCBI's taxonomy places the organism in Eukaryota, Viridiplantae, Streptophyta, Magnoliopsida, Myrtales, Lythraceae. The record is from RefSeq and is a predicted model, not a curated record.